Molecule: non-coding RNA, 1602 nt
Organism: Camellia sinensis
Lineage: Eukaryota; Viridiplantae; Streptophyta; Magnoliopsida; Ericales; Theaceae
Source: RefSeq, a predicted model, not a curated record
GUUUAGAGGUUAUCCAAAUUCAAUUUAAGUUGUAUUAAUGACAACUGCAUGUACUUGUCAAAGUUUGAAUUGUACCUUGAGGUUGUCUAGUCAAGUCCAACCCAAGUUAAGCUUGAGUUACUCAAGUUGCAAGGAUUGUACAUAAUUUUAUUUUAUUUUAUUAUUUUGUGUGAUGGAUCUAGGGGGGGCAGAGGGGGGCGGCCGCACCCCCAAAAAUUUGAAAAAUAUCAUAUAUUAUACUAGAAAUUUUAAAAUAAUUUAAAAUUAUAGGAGUUCGCACCCCCAAAUUUUUUUUAGAUAAUUUCAAAAUUAUAUAGAGUAGGCCCCCAAUUUCUUAAACUAUUUGAAUUUUUUUUUUUUUGAAUUAGUUAACAUAUAUAAUAAUCUAUUUUAAAUUCCAUGUAUAUGUAUUUUUUAAAUUAGGUUAAGAUGAAAGCAAAAUUUUAGAAACUUUAAUGGGCCAAAGUGUAAAAUAUGAAACUUUUACAAAUAUAUAAAUUAUAAGGCUUGCUGGAGAAGUUUGUUCAAACAAAGCACCAAGAUUAAAAAAAGAAAAGAAAACAACUGAUCUGAAAGACUUGUUGCGAUUCGAAAGAGAGGAGGGGAGGGAAGAGAUGAGGGAAGAAACGGAGAAGCUUUGUUGUCAGACUUCGUCAGAGCUGGUCGGCGUAGACAGUGUCGUGGACUCUCACUGAGAGAGAGAGAGAGAGGGGGAAUGAUAAAAAGAGGCACAGAAAGACAUGUUGAAAAGAAAACUUGGAGAGACGGUGGCGGUGAGAGUAGUUGUGAUAGCAUAGUGGUGGUAGUGGAGGGAUGGUGAUAAUAGCUAUAGUGGUAACGUGAUGGUUGUGGUGGUGGUGGUGGUGGCGGUGGCAAUAGUUGUAGUGGUAGUAGAGGUAGAGGGGUGGCAGUAGUGGUGGAAGCUGUAGUGGCGGCGGUGGUGGUAAGAGUGGUGGUGGUAAUGGAAGCAAUGAUAAGAUCAUAACCAUGUUGACAUGUAUGUAUAAAUAUUUAUAAAUUCAAUCAUAAUUAAGUUAUCAUUUAAUUUUUUCUUCAUUUUUAGCCUAUAUUUUCAUUUUAAGAGCUAUUUAAAAUGAAAAAAAAAAAAGAUUCAUUUAAAUUAUUAAGUGAUACUAAUUGUGAUUAUAAAAUAAAUUUUAUAAAUUUUUUACUUAAUAUAUUUAAAUUUAAAUAUUGAAUUAAGUUAUCAAAUAUCAACUAAAGCACCCUUCUGUCUACUAAUUCACAAAAUAAAGCACAUGGGUCACUAAUUGUGGGUGUUUAAGAAGUUGUUAUUUUAGUAGGCUAUUUUUGUUUUUGAUUAUUUUAGUAGGGUAAAAUUUUUGUGUUUAGGAAAAUGAUUGAAUUUUUUUAUAGUUGGAUGUGAUGUUUGUGAGAGAAAAAUUGAAAUGUUAUUGAUUUGAUGUGACAUUUUAUUUAAUUAACUAUUUUAAUCUAUUUUGUCUUUUUGUGACUUUUAACCUGUUAGGCUAAAAUUUUUCUUCCCAUAGAGUGUUUGGCAAAGACUAUUUUUUGGACUAAAAUUUACAAAAAAACAAAAUAGGCUAAAAUAACCAAUAAGGCAAAAUGUUACAUUAAACC